This is a long non-coding RNA of Phacochoerus africanus (Common warthog), 824 nucleotides long. RefSeq lists it as uncharacterized. The record is from RefSeq and is a predicted model, not a curated record. Lineage: Eukaryota; Metazoa; Chordata; Mammalia; Artiodactyla; Suidae. The transcript is spliced from 2 exons.
ACACCUGGAAGGGCUUUACCCACAGUCCUGCUGGGACAGGGAUUCUGCACCAGGCCACGCGGUGCCAGAGGCAGAAGCCACCCACCACCUAGUCUCAAGCCCCUGCAGAAACAAGAAGGCCUUGACUUCCAGGUUGUUCAAGUAAUUGUAGACUCUCAGAACACGUUUUCGUCCAGUCUGGACUAGUGGAGCCACUUCUCUCCACAGCAGCCUCCAAUCGUCGCCACUCUGAGCGGACCCCGUCCGUGGGUGGCACAUCGAGGCUGAGCUGGCAGCCCACCUGCUACCUUCGCAGACGUACUCAACUCACUCCGCGACCACUGCUUUACUUGGCUCUCGGUCUGGGAGAAGAGAAGCCAAGUACCUAAACAAGUUACAUCUCCUCCUUUCCCCAAGCAGGAUGCCGAGGCGCGGACCCACAGCACCGCCUCCCAUCACACUGCCAGGCUCUCCGAAACACUCCAUCCACAAUUCUGGAUGUCAGCCAGGCCCGGGGGCUGUUGGAAACCAACCUUGACCCAGAAAGCCCAGGCUCUGGUAGAACUGGAAGGGAAGGGUGGAGAGUGCGGGCCCCGAAACCACCAGAGUCUCUGUGGAACAUCCCUGGGCUUUUAUUUUAAUGCCAUUAGAAGAAAAGACAAGGUGCAAGUGUUAGGAGCCAAUGAACUGUCCCAUUUAUCUUGUAUAUAUUGUUGCGGAGAGUUCCAGAAGCCAGGAUGUUUAAGAACCUCUCUGAUUCAUGAGGGGUAACUCAAUCUUUAAGGGCUUUGGUUUCUUCUUAGAUAAAACAGAAGGUCAGAAUAAAUAAUCUCCCAGCGCUGGAA